This is a long non-coding RNA of Cebus imitator (Panamanian white-faced capuchin), 1201 nucleotides long. RefSeq lists it as uncharacterized. The transcript has 5 exons. NCBI's taxonomy places the organism in Eukaryota, Metazoa, Chordata, Mammalia, Primates, Cebidae. The record is from RefSeq and is a predicted model, not a curated record.
AGAGGAUUAUAUAUUUACAUUAGAGAGUGGAUACUCUAAUCUUUCUGGCAUUGUAAAACUGAAGCUGGCUGCAGGGAAAAUAAACAUUAUAAUACCCAGCACUUAAACAAUUGUACCUAUAUGGUUAAGUAACAAAAGCGUGAGGCACCUGGAAUCACAGUAUUUGUGCCUAAUGCCAGCAACAAUAUAAAGCAUUCAAGUGACAUUUGAUAAUGAGCAGACAGUGGAGGCAUUACACACGUCUUUAGAAGAAUCAGACUUCCUACCUUGAAAAGACAGAUGGAGAUUUUAAGAUGAACAUCAGUAAGGAAAAGAAUCCUUUUGAAAAACUUUGGUGUCUGCAAGGCAUUCCUAAAGAAAGCCAGAAAGCCAAGUGACUUAUACAAAGAAGAUAUCUACCUGAACACUGAACCCUAAAAAAAUGGAUCUACAUGCACCUGCUAUCACUCAAGAAGGAAGUCUGCCAGAAGGAAAUGACAUUCAACCUGAGAUGGAUGGAGCCAGAGUGGCAGCUAGCUAAUGACCUUGACCUCAGUGAUGUAAAAGCUUUAUAGAUGGGCUCUAAAUCCAGUGACAAGUGUUCUUAUAAGAUACAGAAGGAGAGGAUGCAGUGACACUGAGGAGAAGGCCACCAGAGGCACAGACUGGAGCAACAUAGUCCCAAGCCAAGGAAUGUCUGGAGCCAUGGGAAGCCAAAUGAGUAUCCUAGAUUUGCUUAAACAGUUAACUACUGCCAAAUAUAGCAGCAGUUGACUCUCUGAAAAAGAAAAGUUGAUUGUACUGCCUGCUUGUGGAACAUGGAACAAACCAAUGCUGAUGGAUGCCCAAACAACAUGGAGGCCCUGUCUAGACUGAGCCACGUGAGUCGGGAUGGGGCCACUGGAGAAUCAGGACCGUGGACGUUGAAGUUUGAAUCUGCCAAACUUGGCAAUGGAGUUAAACUGCAACCUUAAUACAAAGCCUAGGACAAAGAAAAUCAGGGCACUGAAAUGUACAAAUAAUGUAAGCUGUAAGGUAAUAUAAAAUUUUUAUUAUCCUUUGAAUGUCACUUCUACAUAAGAAAGUAGCAUUGUUCAAAAAUGUGGGGCUAUAUGAAUCAUCCAGGCCUUCUUCAUCUUUUCCAGUUCUAUUUAGGUCUUUAGAAGAGAAUGUUGGGUAUUGAUAUGGUUGGGCUGUGUCCCCACCCAAACCUCAUCUUGAA